Molecule: ribosomal RNA, 254 nt
Filed under: uncultured bacterium
Lineage: Bacteria
Description: partial 16S ribosomal RNA
Rfam family: Bacterial small subunit ribosomal RNA
Source: RNAcentral
UACAGAGGUCUCGAGCGUUGUUCGGAUUCAUUGGGCGUAAAGGGCGCGUAGGCGGUCAGCACAAGUCAGUUGUGAAAUCUCCGAGCUUAACUCGGAAAGGUCAACUGAUACUGUGCGACUAGAGUGCGGAAGGGGCAACUGGAAUUCUCGGUGUAGCGGUGAAAUGCGUAGAGAUCGAGAGGAACACCUGCGGCGAAGGCGGGUUGCUGGGCCGACACUGACGCUGAGGCGCGAAAGCCAGGGGAGCGAACGGG